GUGAGUUACAAACAUGCACAGUGUCACGUAGGUGAUGAGUGUUUUGUGUGUCUCUUUAUUGCGGUGACUUGUUUUGAUCACUUGUAUGUUUGAUUGAUUGCUUUGUGACACAUUGAAGACAUUGGACUUUGAUCAUUUACUCAUAUGUGUCUUUUAUUUGUUUCAGGAGGUUCACAGAGAUGAGUUGCAACAAGAAAACGUUAUGCAUGGUGUCAGAGAUUUGCCGUAGAAGCAGAGCUUCUUCUUCUUCUUCUUCUUCUUCUUCUUCUUCUUCUUCUUCUUCUUCUUCUUCUUCUUCUUCUUCUUCUUCUUCUUCUUCUUCUUCUUCUUCUUCUUCUUCUUCUUCUUCUUCUUCUUCUUCUUCUUCUUCUUCUUCUUCUUCUUCUUCUUCUUCUUCUUCUUCUUCUUCUUAAUGGAAUUUCACCUAAAUAAAAAAAAAAAAAAAAAAAAAGAGUCCAAACUGCAUUGUCGUCAAUUUUUCUGAAAAACAAAGAGGAAAGUGUGAAGAGAGAGAAAAGUAGGAAAGAGGAAAAGAGUAAAGUGUGAGAAAAAAGCAAAGAGAGAAGAGAGGAAAAAGAAGAAAGUUUAAGGAAAGAACAAAGAGAAAAAGAACAAAGUGUGAGGAAAGAGGAUAGAGGAAAAAAGACUAAGGGAUAGAGGAAAAAAAGACUAAGUGUGAGAGAAAAGGGGAUAGAGGAAAAAAAGACUAAGUGUGAGAAAAAAGGGGAUAGAGGAAAAAAGACUAAGUGAGAGAAAAGGGGAUAGAGGAAAAAAAGACUAAGUGUGAGAGGAAAAAAAGACUAAGUGUGAGAGGAAAAAAGACUAAGGAAAGAGUGAGGAAAGAGGAAAAAGAACAAAGUGCUGCUUUACUCUUGUGUUUGAUUGUUUCAGAUGCUGAGAGAUCAAGCGGUGGACGUUCAUAGAGGAGAGAUCCUGAGAGAUCAAGUGGUGGACGUCCAGAGAGGAGAGAUCCUGAGAGAUCAAGUGGUGGACGUCCAGAGAGGAGAGGUGAGUUACACAUUGUCACACAUUGCUGCUUUAUUCAUGUGUUUGAUUGUUUCAGAUGCUGAGAGACCAAGUGGUGGACGUCCAGAGAGGAGAGGUGAGUUAGAAACAUGCACAUUGUCAAUCAUUGUGGACAGUAGACUUUGUUCUUUUACUCAUGUGUUUCUUGUGUUUGAUUGUUUCAGAUGCUGAGAGAUCAAGUGGUGGACGUCCAGAGAGGAGAGAUGCUGAGAGAUCAAGUGGUGGACGUCCAGAGAGGAGAGGUGAGUUACAAACAUGCACAGUGUCACGUAGGUGAUGAGUGUUUUGUGUGUCUCUUUAUUGCGGUGACUUGUUUUGAUCACUUGUAUGUUUGAUUGAUUGCUUUGUGACACAUUGAAGACAUUGGACUUUGAUCAUUUACUCAUAUGUGUCUUUUAUUUGUUUCAGGAGGUUCACAGAGAUGAGUUGCAACAAGAAAACGUUAUGCAUGGUGUCAGAGAUUUGCCGUAGAAGCAGAGCUUCUUCUUCUUCUUCUUCUUCUUCUUCUUCUUCUUCUUCUUCUUCUUCUUCUUCUUCUUCUUCUUCUUCUUCUUCUUCUUCUUCUUCUUCUUCUUCUUCUUCUUCUUCUUCUUCUUCUUCUUCUUCUUCUUCUUCUUCUUCUUC
This is a long non-coding RNA of Amphiprion ocellaris (clown anemonefish), 1650 nucleotides long. The record is from Ensembl. Lineage: Eukaryota; Metazoa; Chordata; Actinopteri; Pomacentridae.